Molecule: long non-coding RNA, 928 nt
Filed under: Homo sapiens (human)
Lineage: Eukaryota; Metazoa; Chordata; Mammalia; Primates; Hominidae
Description: non-protein coding lnc-OR5B17-1:1
Source: RNAcentral
AUGAAGAACUGUACAGAAGUGACAGAGUUCAUCCUCCUGGGACUAACCAAUGCUCCAGAGCUACAAGUCCCCCUCCUUAUCAUGUUCACUCUCAUAUACCUUGUCAAUGUGGUUGGAAACCUGGGGAUGAUUGUUUUAAUUGUUUGGGACAUUCAUCUCCACACUCCCAUGUAUUUUUUCCUCAGUCACCUGUCUCUAGUGGACUUUUGUUACUCUUCAGCUGUCACUCCCACAGUCAUAGCUGGGCUCGUUAUAGGAGACAAGGUCAUCUCUUACAAUGCAUGUGCUGCUCAAAUGUUCUUUUUUGCAGCCUUUGCCACUGUGGAAAAUUUCCUCUUGGCCUCAAUGGCCUAUGACCGCUAUGAUGCAGUGUGCAAACCCCUACAUUACACCACCACCAUGACAACAAGUGUGUGUGCAUGUCUGGCUAUAAUCUGUUAUGUCUGUGGUUUCUUGAAUGCCUCCAUACACAUUGGGGAAACAUUGUCUCUCUUUCUGUAUGUCCAAUGAAGUCCAUUGCUUUUUCUGUGAUGUUCCACCAGUCAUGGCUCUGUCUUGCUGUGAUAGACAUGUGAAUGAGCUAGUUCUCAUUUAUGUAGCCAGUUUCAAUAUCUUUUCUGCCAUCCUAGUUAUCUUGAUCUCCUACCUAUUCAUAUUUAUCACCAUCCUAAAGAUGCACUCAGCUUCAGGAUACCAGAAGGCUUUGUCCACCUGUGCCUCCCACCUCACUGCAGUCAUCAUCUUCUAUGGGACUAUUAUCUUCAUGUACUUACAGCCCAGCUCUGGUCACUCCAUGGACACAGACAAACUGGCAUCUGUGUUCUAUACUAUGAUCAUCCCCAUGCUGAACCCCCUGGUCUAUAGCCUGAGGAACAACGAAGUGAAGAGCGCAUUCAAGAAAGUUAUUGAGAAGGCAAAAUUGUCUCUA